GUUUUCUCUCGGUGAAAAGCAGGCUGGCUUCACGGGAGAAACGAAACGGGAAAACCUUAUAAACACGCUGAAAGUUGCUCUAAACGCUUGUUUCUUGGGAAAUUAUCGUCUUUUUACCACUUAUUUUGGCAAGAAAGCAAGAAAAGCAAGCCUUGUGUGCGGAGUUUUCUUCAUUGUUUCGCUUGCUGUCAUUAUGAGGACAGCACACCCAUAGUUGGAGAACAUCUUAGACCAUUUAAAUUUAUGAUGAAGCGUACUGAUGCUGACAUCUCUGCGGGGGACGCACAGACGUUGGAAGGUGGGUCUUCUUGCUUCAUGCAGAGUGGGCUUGGCUUUUUCGAUACGGCAAGGUCAGACGGCGGUGGAGGCCUCCUGCUGCCCGGGCACAAGGACAAGGGCGGCCCGUGCAGCGUCAGUCAAAAGCCUCGCUCUUCUUUCUCCCAAUCGGCAACUUUCUUACUCGCGGGGCGAGCGAGCCAAAGGAUGGGAAUGUGUGUGCCCCUCCCCUCCAUCUGGUGCAGCACGCCUCUGUCAGGAUGUCAGCCUGCACCCCCUAUAAUGAAGGGUGUCAUCAAGGUUACUGCGGCCUGGAAUGGUGCCUGCGUCCUCCUCUAGCGCUCCAUCCCGGUAUCCCUUUUGCCUCAUUCCAUGUGACACAAAAUGCCUAUUUGGGAAGUGGCUUGUUGAUGGUCUGAUGAUGUUUUUAUGGCAGUUGAUCCGCCCAUGGAGAGCACAGAAUCCUGCCCCGACUCAAUUGACAGCAAUUUAUCAUCAUAUUUACCCGUUUCUGAAACUGUAUGCGAUUGUAUUGCAACACUUCAACAGCAAAAACGCUAAUCUAAUUGUAAGAUUAAAUAUCAGAAAUCUAUGUCAGUAGCCACGUUUACAUGGACCCAAAUAUACCAAU
This is a non-coding RNA of Doryrhamphus excisus (bluestripe pipefish), 907 nucleotides long. Lineage: Eukaryota; Metazoa; Chordata; Actinopteri; Syngnathiformes; Syngnathidae. The record is from RefSeq and is a predicted model, not a curated record.